RNAcentral lists this ribosomal RNA (467 nucleotides) under uncultured bacterium. Its description in RNAcentral is "partial 16S ribosomal RNA". It matches the Rfam family "Bacterial small subunit ribosomal RNA", at positions 28 to 507 of the family's 1533-position model. The record is from RNAcentral.
GACGAACGCUGGCGGCGUGCUUAACACAUGCAAGUCGAACGAAGAAGCCCAGCUUGCUGGGUGGAAGAGUGGCGAACGGGUGAGUAACACGUGAGUAACCUGCCCUGAACUCUGGGAUAAGCACUGGAAACGGUGUCUAAUACUGGAUACGACCUAUCACCGCAUGGUGUGUGGGUGGAAAGAUUUAUCGGUUCUGGAUGGACUCGCGGCCUAUCAGCUAGAUGGUGAGGUAAUGGCUCACCAUGGCGACGACGGGUAGCCGGCCUGAGAGGGUGACCGGCCACACUGGGACUGAGACACGGCCCAGACUCCUACGGGAGGCAGCAGUGGGGAAUAUUGCACAAUGGGCGCAAGCCUGAUGCAGCAACGCCGCGUGAGGGAUGACGGCCUUCGGGUUGUAAACCUCUUUUAGUAGGGAAGAAGCGAAAGUGACGGUACCUGCAGAAAAAGCACCGGCUAACUACGUG